CAAAAACUCUCUCAAAAAUUUCAUUCCCCCUCUCUCUAAAAACUUCCAAACCUUGAGCUUCCCUCCUUCCCAUCGCCGGCCGCAUCCCCCCUUCAUCGACGGCGUCUACAUCCUGACGGCGCCAACCCCUGUUCGAACCCGGCACGGGCUACCACUUGUUCGACGGCGUCGGGAUGAUCCACUCCGUCAGGAUCCGCAACGGCCAGGCCUCUUCCGCUUGGUCGACCCCUCGCACGGGACUAGCGUCGCCAACGCCGGCCUCAUCAAGGGUCAAAAUUGAUUCCUCCACUUUAGACAAGCUCUCUUCUCAAUCGAAGAAACCCUCUUCGAUCUCUCCCCCCAAAACCCUACCACCAACAAACCCUAAAUUUCUAACCAUUAAUUUCUGCAGCAAUGGCCAUUUAGCCAUUAAUUUCUCUAAAGGAGGUUAUGGGAGUUAAGGAAUGAAGUAUUGAUUUUGUUGAUGAUGGUUCUUGAAUGGAUUUGCUUAUAAGUUUCGCUAAACUAAACUAUUUUGUAGUUCACCACAGUUCACUUGUAAUAGCUGUGCUCCUAGUUGUAUAGGGAGGUCGUAAUUAGUGGUACUGAGGAAUGAGAACUUCACCUUUUUAGAUUUACCCGCUAUUAUUCUGUUAAAAGAGAAUUAAAUAUGGAUUUCUUGUACAUGCUUCAAGUUUUUGCAUAGAUAUUUAUAUGUAUCAGCAGACUAUGUUGAGGGGAAGGAGCUGGGAGGAGAAUUCAGGGGAGGGGAAGGAGAAGGGGAAGAGUAAGGUUGAUCAGCAUGCUAUUUUGAGGACCCAGGUACUAUACGAUUAUUGAAGCCGAUCACAUCUUUUUUAUUGUAAAUCAAGAGAGAGCAGGAGUACAGUUUAGCAAUUUGAAUUAGAAGCCCUUAAUAUGCUGAGUGUAAUACUAAUUAUGACUUGAAGCAUUGAAAGUUCUCUGCGGCUCCGAUUGUAAAUAAACAUAUAAAUAGAAAAGUAGUUAUUAUCUAUGUAAACAAUUUAUGUAUCGCGUUCCUUUUUGUUAAUAGAGAUUAUUAGACCUGUUUGCCGAUGCACUGACAUCCAUUGUAAAUAAUUUAUGUAAAAGUUUGUAAACAAUUUAUGUAUUAUUUGAAUAUAAUUGGAUUUGAUAUUGGAA
Asparagus officinalis (garden asparagus) is the source of this 1143-nucleotide long non-coding RNA. RefSeq lists it as uncharacterized. The record is from RefSeq and is a predicted model, not a curated record. The transcript has 3 exons. NCBI's taxonomy places the organism in Eukaryota, Viridiplantae, Streptophyta, Magnoliopsida, Asparagales, Asparagaceae.